This 241-nucleotide long non-coding RNA is filed under the name Pelobates cultripes (western spadefoot toad). The record is from RNAcentral. Lineage: Eukaryota; Metazoa; Chordata; Amphibia; Anura; Pelobatidae.
GGCCACUCGCUGCCUCACCUCGGCCAUCCAAUCAUCGCCAGAGCCUUCCAUACUUGUCUGCUCCAAGUCGCUGGAUACCUCUGCUCCCAGGGUCGCUGCACGUGUGCUAGCGUUGCCCUCAAUUUGUAAAUCCAAACGAACUGUGUCUCUGAGCUGCUUUACCUCGCACUAGGAUGCCAUCCCACCGCUGCCACCAAUGUAACGGAUCGCCUGGCACCCCGACUGGGUACCUCCGUUAAAG